UCAGGAUGUGCUGGAGGUGGCAAAUCGUCAGCGCCGUACUCUUGAUGAGCGUCAGCAAGAAAAGAUCAACGUGAAUCUGCGUGCAUAAGCAGUCAGUGACUCAUUUAUCUGUUUUUGGAAGUGAUGUACGGAGUAAAAGAGCAAUGAAAUUACCGAUUUAUCUGGACUACUC
Molecule: small RNA, 172 nt
Filed under: Serratia sp. DD3
Lineage: Bacteria; Pseudomonadati; Pseudomonadota; Gammaproteobacteria; Enterobacterales; Yersiniaceae
Description: IscS-1 ICR thermometer
Rfam family: IscS-1 ICR thermometer
About the family: Imprinting control region from upstream of iscS-1 (cysteine desulfurase).
Source: Rfam by way of RNAcentral